CAAUAGCGUAUAUUAAAGUUGUUGCAGUUAGAACGCUCGUAGUCGGAUUUCGGGGCGGGCCGGCCGGUCUGCCGAUGGGUACGCACUGGUCGGCGCGUCCUUCCUUCCGGAGACCGUGCCUACUCUUAACUGAGCGGGGGCGGGAGACGGAUCGUUUACUUUGAAAAAAUCAGAGUGUUUCAAGCAGGCAGCUCGCUCUUGCAUGGAUUAGCAUGGGAUAAUGAAAUAGGACUUUGGUGCUAUUUUGUUGGUUUCGAACACCGAAGUAAUGAUUAAAAGGGACAGUCAGGGGCACUCGUAUUCCGCCGAGAGAGGUGAAAUUCUCAGACCAGCGGAAGACGAACUACUGCGAAAGCAUUUGCCAGGGAUGUUUUCACUGA
This 380-nucleotide ribosomal RNA is filed under the name uncultured eukaryote. Its description in RNAcentral is "partial 18S ribosomal RNA". It matches the Rfam family "Eukaryotic small subunit ribosomal RNA", at positions 592 to 976 of the family's 1831-position model. The record is from RNAcentral.